CGGUAAUACGUAGGUGGCAAGCGUUGUCCGGAAUUAUUGGGCGUAAAGGGCUCGCAGGCGGUUUCUUAAGUCUGAUGUGAAAGCCCCCGGCUCAACCGGGGAGGGUCAUUGGAAACUGGGAAACUUGAGUGCAGAAGAGGAGAGUGGAAUUCCACGUGUAGCGGUGAAAUGCGUAGAGAUGUGGAGGAACACCAGUGGCGAAGGCGACUCUCUGGUCUGUAACUGACGCUGAGGAGCGAAAGCGUGGGGAGCGAACAGGAUUAGAUACCCUGGUAGUCCACGCCGUAAACGAUGAGUGCUAAGUGUUAGGGGGUUUCCGCCCCUUAGUGCUGCAGCUAACGCAUUAAGCACUCCGCCUGGGGAGUACGGUCGCAAGACUGAAACUCAAAGGAAUUGACGGGGGCCCGCACAAGCGGUGGAGCAUGUGGUUUAAUUCGAAGCAACGCGAAGAACCUUACCAGGUCUUGACAUCCUCUGACAACCCUAGAGAUAGGGCUUUCCCUUCGGGGACAGAGUGACAGGUGGUGCAUGGUUGUCGUCAGCUCGUGUCGUGAGAUGUUGGGUUAAGUCCCGCAACGAGCGCAACCCUUGAUCUUAGUUGCCAGCAUUUAGUUGGGCACUCUAAGGUGACUGCCGGUGACAAACCGGAGGAAGGUGGGGAUGACGUCAAAUCAUCAUGCCCCUUAUGACCUGGGCUACACACGUGCUACAAUGGACAGAACAAAGGGCUGCGAGACCGCAAGGUUUAGCCAAUCCCAUAAAUCUGUUCUCAGUUCGGAUCGCAGUCUGCAACUCGACUGCGUGAAGCUGGAAUCGCUA
This 819-nucleotide ribosomal RNA is filed under the name Bacillus pumilus. RNAcentral's name for it is "bacterial SSU rRNA". It matches the Rfam family "Bacterial small subunit ribosomal RNA", at positions 518 to 1337 of the family's 1533-position model. The record is from RNAcentral. Lineage: Bacteria; Bacillati; Bacillota; Bacilli; Caryophanales; Bacillaceae.